UACGGAGGGUGCAAGCGUUGUCCGGAUUUAUUGGGUUUAAAGGGUGCGUAGGCGGCUCUUUAAGUCAGUGGUGAAAUACUGCAGCUCAACUGUAGCAUUGCCAUUGAUACUGAAGAGCUUGAGUACAGAUGAGGUAGGCGGAAUUUAUGGUGUAGCGGUGAAAUGCAUAGAUACCAUAAAGAACACCUAUUGCGAAGGCAGCUUACUAGCUAGUAACUGACGCUGAGGCACGAAAGCGUGGGGAAGC
This 247-nucleotide ribosomal RNA is filed under the name uncultured bacterium. Its description in RNAcentral is "partial 16S ribosomal RNA". It matches the Rfam family "Bacterial small subunit ribosomal RNA", at positions 524 to 770 of the family's 1533-position model. The record is from RNAcentral.